RNAcentral lists this long non-coding RNA (646 nucleotides) under Homo sapiens (human). RNAcentral's name for it is "non-protein coding lnc-RNF152-7:1". The record is from RNAcentral. Lineage: Eukaryota; Metazoa; Chordata; Mammalia; Primates; Hominidae.
UUUUUUUUCAAUUGGUCUUGUUUGUUAAGUCUGGUAGUUUUAAAAUGAAUCCUUAUCUUUAUAUAUUAAAAGUUUUAGAAUCUCUGGAUUAUCUCAUUUUUCUCCAGAGAGGUUUUGCCUUGUCCUCUGAUGGCCACAAAGAGUAGUGGCUGACUCAAGGCCGUGCUGCGAUUUUAAGCCUCCUUUGAUCUCUGGUUUGUCUCUGUUCUUAGAGUGUAGUAUCUCAGGGAUCCCUAUACAGACCUUGUAGUAUCUAGAACCUUUCUUCUCUGGUGGUCACUGAAUACCAAUUUUUGUCUCUUGUACAUCUUGAGACUACCAAAACUUCUGUAAGUGAAAUAAGGCCGCCACAGAAAGACGAAUUUUACAUGUUCUCACUCAUAUGUGGGAGCUAAAAAAAAUAGCUUUGAUGACGUAGACAAGAAUUGACAGAAUAGAAUUGAUGAAGUAGACAAGAAUACAUAUGUAUACAUGAUAUAUGUAUAUCCUUCUUGUUAUAUUUCAAGUUCUAUUUAUAAAAUAUUUCAAACAUGCUGAAAAGAAUAGAGGAUAUAAUAAAAAUUGUUGUACCCACAACUCAGGUUUAAGAAAAUGUUAACAUUUUACCAUAUUUAGAUUCUUUUUAGAGGGGGGGGCUGAGGAAUAA